UGAGGAAUAUUGCGCAAUGAGCGAAAGCUAGACGCAGCAACGCCGCGUGGACGAUGAAGGCCUUCGGGUCGUAAAGUCCUUUUUAGAGGGACGAGUGAGGACGGUACCUCUAGAAUAAGUCACGGCUAACUACGUGCCAGCAGCCGCGGUAAAACGUAGGUGGCAAGCGUUAUCCGGAUUCACUGGGCGUAAAGCGCCUGCAGGCGGUCUCGUAAGUGGGAUGUGAAAUCUCCUGGCUUAACUGGGAGGGGCCAUUCCAUACUGCGAGGCUUGAGGGCAGAAGAGGGAAGCGGAAUUCCCGGUGUAGUGGUGAAAUGCGUAGAUAUCGGGAGGAACACCAGUGGCGAAGGCGGCUUCCUGGCCUGCUCCUGACGCUAAGAGGCGAAAGCUAGGGGAGCGAACGGGAUUAGAAACCCCGGUAGUCCUAGCCGUAAACGAUGGAUACUAGGUGUCGGUGGUCCUAACCCCAUCGGUGCCGAAGCUAACGCGUUAAGUAUCCCGCCUGGGGACUACGGCCGCAAGGUUA
Molecule: ribosomal RNA, 526 nt
Filed under: uncultured bacterium
Lineage: Bacteria
Description: bacterial SSU rRNA
Rfam family: Bacterial small subunit ribosomal RNA
Source: RNAcentral